RNAcentral lists this ribosomal RNA (262 nucleotides) under uncultured archaeon. RNAcentral describes it as "partial 16S ribosomal RNA". It matches the Rfam family "Archaeal small subunit ribosomal RNA", at positions 717 to 982 of the family's 1478-position model. The record is from RNAcentral.
ACACGACUACAUUAGAUACCCGGGUAGUCCCAGCCCUAAACGAUGCGCGUUAGGUGUAUCGGUGACCACGAGUCACCGAGGUGCCGAAGGGAACCGUGAAACGUGCCGCCUGGGAAGUACGGUCGCAAGGCUGAAACUUAAAGGAAUUGCGGGGAGCACCACAACGGGUGGAGCCUGCGGUUUAAUUGGACUCAACGCCGGGAAGCUCACCGGAUAAGACAGCGGAAUGAUUGCCGGGCUGAAGACCCUGCAUGACCAGCUG